RNAcentral lists this ribosomal RNA (301 nucleotides) under uncultured bacterium. RNAcentral's name for it is "partial 16S ribosomal RNA". It matches the Rfam family "Bacterial small subunit ribosomal RNA", at positions 509 to 807 of the family's 1533-position model. The record is from RNAcentral.
CAGUCGCCGCGGUAAUACGUAGGGUGCGAGCGUUAAUCGGAAUUACUGGGCGUAAAGCGUGCGCAGGCGGUCAUAUAAGACAGAUGUGAAAUCCCCGGGCUCAACCUGGGACCUGCAUUUGUGACUGUAUAGCUAGAGUACGGUAGAGGGGGAUGGAAUUCCGCGUGUAGCAGUGAAAUGCGUAGAUAUGCGGAGGAACACCGAUGGCGAAGGCAAUCCCCUGGACCUGUACUGACGCUCAUGCACGAAAGCGUGGGGAACAAACAGGAUUAGAUACCCCAGUAGUCCCUGUCUCUUAUAC